UAGAGCAGUUAGCCUUUUUGGAUUCACAUCUACCACAAAGAGCAGGCAUAUUCCAAUCACUUCAGCAUUUCAUUUUAUUUAUGGUUUCCGUUCAACUUUUUCUUCUUCUGCAAAAAGAUCAUAUCUUUGGGAUCUUGGCUUGAUUAGCGAUCUUUUCUAUCUUUUCUUUAGUUUAGUCUUAAGAUCCGUUUCAGAAAGGUGAAAAUAAACUGAGAUUGUUAGAAGUUCGUCAAUAUGUCUGCUUGUUGGAGGGAAAUUUCGUCUUCACAAUGUUAUUGUGCUAUGCAAAAUUCCUGUGGUAUCCCUGUACCGGUGGAUUUGAGCUAUUUAGAGAAAGGCAACACAGAUCAAUCAAGCUAUUAUUAUUGAAGUCGGACAUUCUAGGCAAGCUUGUUUUGAUUUUGAAUGCAGUACAUUGGAAUCCUGAAGCACCACCACGAACGUUAUCGGGCGUCCGCCUGCGACACAUGUCUUCCUUUAUGAUGAAUUAGUUCACAACAGGCUCAGCUCGAUCUACUUUUUGACGAACUUAUAUG
This is a long non-coding RNA of Nicotiana attenuata, 536 nucleotides long. RefSeq lists it as uncharacterized. The transcript is spliced from 3 exons. The record is from RefSeq and is a predicted model, not a curated record. Lineage: Eukaryota; Viridiplantae; Streptophyta; Magnoliopsida; Solanales; Solanaceae.